GAUGAACGCUGGCGGCAGGCCUAAUACAUGCAAGUCGAGCGAACAGACGAGGAGCUUGCUCCGUCGACGUUGGCGGCGGACGGGUGAGGAACACGUAGGUAACCUACCUAUAAGACUGGGAUAACGUCGGGAAACCGGAGCUAAUAUCGGAUAAGAUUUCGAACCGCAUGGUUCGAUAGUGAAAGAUGGCUUUGCUAUCACUUAUAGGUGUACCUGCGCCGUAUUAGCUAGUUGGUAAGGUAACGGCCUACCAAGGCAACGAUCCGUAGCUGACCUGAGAGGGUGAUCGGUCACACUGGAACUGAGACACGGUCCAGACUCCUACGGGAGGCAGCAGUAGGGAAUAUUGCGCAAUGGGCGAAAGCCUGACGGAGCAACGCCGCGUGAGUGAUGAAGGUCUUCGGAUCGUAAAACUCUGUUAUUAGGGAAGAACAACAGUGUAAGUAACUGUGCACGUCUUGACGGUACCUAAUCAGAAAGCAACGGCUAACUACGUG
This 497-nucleotide ribosomal RNA is filed under the name uncultured bacterium. RNAcentral describes it as "partial 16S ribosomal RNA". It matches the Rfam family "Bacterial small subunit ribosomal RNA", at positions 28 to 507 of the family's 1533-position model. The record is from RNAcentral.